AUGGAUGGAUCAUAAGUCCAAG
This 22-nucleotide non-coding RNA is filed under the name Rattus norvegicus (Norway rat). Lineage: Eukaryota; Metazoa; Chordata; Mammalia; Rodentia; Muridae. The record is from RNAcentral.